RNAcentral lists this ribosomal RNA (253 nucleotides) under uncultured bacterium. RNAcentral describes it as "partial 16S ribosomal RNA". It matches the Rfam family "Bacterial small subunit ribosomal RNA", at positions 524 to 776 of the family's 1533-position model. The record is from RNAcentral.
UACGUAGGGGGCUAGCGUUGUCCGGAAUCAUUGGGCGUAAAGAGCGUGUAGGCGGCCCGGUAAGUCCGCUGUAAAAGUCAAAGGCUCAACCUUUGAAUGUCAGUGGAUACUGCCGGGCUAGAGUCCGGAAGAGGCGAGUGGAACUCCUGGUGUAGCGGUGAAAUGCGCAGAUAUCAGGAGGAACACCAAUGGCGAAGGCAGCUCGCUGGGACGGUACUGACGCUGAGGCGCGAAAGCGUGGGGAGCAAACAGG